GUCCACGCCGUAAACGAUGAAUGCCAGCCGUUGGGGGUUUACUCUCCAGUGGCGCAGUUAACGCUUUAAGCAUUCCGCCUGGGGAGUACGGUAGCAAGAUUAAAACUCAAAGGAAUUGACGGGGCCCGCACAAGCGGUGGAGCAUGUGGUUUAAUUCGACGCAACGCGCAGAACCUUACCAGCCCUUGACAUCCCGGUCGCGGUUUCCAGAGACGGAGACCUUCAGUUCGGCUGGACCGGAGACAGGUGCUGCAUGGCUGUCGU
This 264-nucleotide ribosomal RNA is filed under the name uncultured bacterium. Its description in RNAcentral is "partial 16S ribosomal RNA". It matches the Rfam family "Bacterial small subunit ribosomal RNA", at positions 793 to 1055 of the family's 1533-position model. The record is from RNAcentral.